CAAUGAGCGGGUGAUCCAGGUAACCAAAACUGAGACACGUAGGAGAGAACACAGAACCAACUCUUCCGGGUUAGACUGCAAUUCGACACAUCCUGCAGGUUACAGAAGAAAACACCUCCUGACUCCGAUCUACCUGUUCUCCACGACGCCGUUGCUACCAUCGAGAGACCGUUUGUAAGGCUGCCUGCCGGCUGAGGGACACAGCCUUCCAGCAGAUUAGGAUGGAUUCCGCAGAUGCUGGAAAUCUGGAGAAACAUACACAAAGUGCUGGAGGAACUCAGCAGGUCAGGCAGCGUCUUUGGAAAGGGAAUAAACAGCCGACGUUUCGGGCCGAGACCCUUCUCUGAUGACCCAGGAUAUCCCCUCUUCUAAGUGCUACCGCCAGGGAGGUGGUACAGGAGCCUGGAGAUACACACUCAAUGUUAUAGGAACAUCAGAUUUCUGAAUGGAGAGUGAACCCUACCUCACUAUGUUUUCUCAUUUUAUCUCUUCUUACACUAC
Molecule: long non-coding RNA, 501 nt
Organism: Mobula hypostoma (lesser devil ray)
Lineage: Eukaryota; Metazoa; Chordata; Chondrichthyes; Myliobatiformes; Myliobatidae
Exons: 3
Source: RefSeq, a predicted model, not a curated record